UACGUAGGGGGCUAGCGUUGUCCGGGAUCAUUGGGCGUAAAGGGCUCGUAGGCGGUUCGUCGCGUCUGCUGUGAAAACUCGGGGCUCAACCCCGAACUUGCAGUGGGUACGGGCAGACUAGAGUGUGGUAGGGGAGACUGGAAUUCCAGGUGUAGCGGUGAAAUGCGUAGAUAUCUGGAGGAACACCGGUGGCGAAGGCGGCAUCCUGGACCGGUAUUGACGCUGAGGCGCGAAAGCCAGGGGAGCAAACGGG
Molecule: ribosomal RNA, 253 nt
Filed under: uncultured bacterium
Lineage: Bacteria
Description: partial 16S ribosomal RNA
Rfam family: Bacterial small subunit ribosomal RNA
Source: RNAcentral